AGUUCUCUGCAAUGGUGACAUGCUAUGGGAGGGGUUGAAGAUGGACCUGGAAUGGAUGGGCCUAGUGACACUGGCGAGGCCGAGUGCAGAAGCGACAUUCAAUCAUUUUGAGAUGGACCCGAGCAUUUUGGUCUGCAUGGAGAGUUCAACUGAAGUGAAUCAGUAGCAGCUCUACUCUGCGACUCAUAUCUCAGUCUACUUUGAAAGAGUCUACUUCUUCUGCAAAUGGAGAGUUCAACACAA
This is a long non-coding RNA of Gadus morhua (Atlantic cod), 243 nucleotides long. RefSeq lists it as uncharacterized. The record is from RefSeq and is a predicted model, not a curated record. NCBI's taxonomy places the organism in Eukaryota, Metazoa, Chordata, Actinopteri, Gadiformes, Gadidae. The transcript has 4 exons.